UAUAAGCAGUCCCCAAUUCCACAUCAGAUGCGUCUUCAAGUAGGGUCGACGGAUUUGGGAAGUCAAUCAAACAUGAAUCUGCUACUGGAGCUCGUAGUGAAACUUUCAUAGGUCUUCGACUUUUUCAGCGUCUGACUCCGAAGACAAUUAUGGGUUUGGACCACAUAAAGGUAACUCAGGUGAUUAUCAAUUUGUUGAUGGGAAAAUGGAUCGCGAAAACUUAGUGGGUUUGGAAGGUUCUACUGUCAAAGUCAGGCCAUCAUCUUUACAAUCUCAAGCUCCUGGUCCAACCAACAGCCCACUGAAUGGUAAUGUCUUUGAGCUGCUGGAGUCUCAAGUUUCUUCCCCAGCAAUUUCACCUGAUGAGAUCUAUAAAUUUGUCUUUGCACCUGUUGAGGAGGAGAUGGUGGGGGAGCCUUCGUACCUGGUUGCUAUCAUGUGAGUCUCGCGGGUAUGCUUGUUCAUUACUCAGGACCCCAGAAUCAUGCCAAGCAUGUAAAACUAUGGUCAUCCAAUUUUUUGCUCUUGGUAUUCUGUUUUAACUGUGCUCUGCAUGGAUUCAUGUGCAGAGCUUUCCAUGAUAUGUUAAAAUUUCAAAAUUGCUGUGACCAUUGCCAGUGCCCUAUUCUUACUGGUUCCACUUUGCAGUGCUAAUGUUGAAAAAAUCAAAGUACAUCCCAAUCUCUAUGUGUUGAUAAUCCAAUUACUGGCUCGCUGUGAGCGAUAUGCUGAACUUGGGUUGUUCAUCAUUAAUAAGAUUAUUGAACCCUCAAAAGAAGUAGCAUUGCAACUGCUAGAGUCAGGUCGACAGAAUGUAGAAACUAGGAAGCUGGGUCUGGACAUGCUAAGACAACUCAAUUUACAUCUUGAUUAUGUCGUGUUAUUAGCACAAGAUGGAUAUUAUCUAGAGGCGUUACGAUAUGCACGGAAGCAUAAGGUCACUACGAUCAGGCCUUCAUUGUUUCUUGAAGCAGCAGUUGCAUCCAAUGACCCACAACUUCUGGCUGCAAUUUUGAGAUUCUUUUCAGAUUUUACCCCUGGUUUUCAAAACACUUCCGAUCACUAUGCAUACUAUCACAUUCUGACCGAGAUGAACUCCUCAAUAGCUGCCUGAGGUUACAAGUAAGCAGAUAAAAUUGCAGACUUUAAG
Carica papaya (papaya) is the source of this 1150-nucleotide non-coding RNA. Lineage: Eukaryota; Viridiplantae; Streptophyta; Magnoliopsida; Brassicales; Caricaceae. The record is from RefSeq and is a predicted model, not a curated record.